This 659-nucleotide ribosomal RNA is filed under the name Pantoea ananatis. RNAcentral describes it as "bacterial SSU rRNA". It matches the Rfam family "Bacterial small subunit ribosomal RNA", at positions 774 to 1433 of the family's 1533-position model. The record is from RNAcentral. Lineage: Bacteria; Pseudomonadati; Pseudomonadota; Gammaproteobacteria; Enterobacterales; Erwiniaceae.
AGGAUUAGAUACCCUGGUAGUCCACGCCGUAAACGAUGUCGACUUGGAGGUUGUUCCCUUGAGGAGUGGCUUCCGGAGCUAACGCGUUAAGUCGACCGCCUGGGGAGUACGGCCGCAAGGUUAAAACUCAAAUGAAUUGACGGGGGCCCGCACAAGCGGUGGAGCAUGUGGUUUAAUUCGAUGCAACGCGAAGAACCUUACCUACUCUUGACAUCCACGGAAUUUGGCAGAGAUGCCUUAGUGCCUUCGGGAACCGUGAGACAGGUGCUGCAUGGCUGUCGUCAGCUCGUGUUGUGAAAUGUUGGGUUAAGUCCCGCAACGAGCGCAACCCUUAUCCUUUGUUGCCAGCGAUUCGGUCGGGAACUCAAAGGAGACUGCCGGUGAUAAACCGGAGGAAGGUGGGGAUGACGUCAAGUCAUCAUGGCCCUUACGAGUAGGGCUACACACGUGCUACAAUGGCGCAUACAAAGAGAAGCGACCUCGCGAGAGCAAGCGGACCUCAUAAAGUGCGUCGUAGUCCGGAUCGGAGUUUGCAACUCGACUCCGUGAAGUCGGAAUCGCUAGUAAUCGUGGAUCAGAAUGCCACGGUGAAUACGUUCCCGGGCCUUGUACACACCGCCCGUCACACCAUGGGAGUGGGUUGCAAAAGAAGUAGGUAG